AAGUCCAAAACAAGAGGUUGCGAGGGAAACCGUGAAAAAGGCAUUCAUGUAACAAAUAAAUGUCCAGUUACGUGAAUGUGUAUGUGCCACAAGGGAGGACGCUGCAGGUAUCAGACCUGAUAUUUCUCGCUCUUUUGUAAAAAAGGAUGUGCAAUUCAAUGAUAUAUGAAAUGUAGGUUAUCCUAGUAUUUGUCAUAAUUUCAGUGUUUGAGGUAUUUUACAGUCAGGAUGGCCGAGUGGUCUAAGGCGCUGCGUUAAGGUCGCAGUCUCCCCUGGAGGCGUGGGUUCAAAUCCCACUUCUGACAAAAGGUUAAGACAAGUGUUUUAAUUUCUGUAAAGUCCAAAACAAGAGGUUGCGAGGGAAACCGUGAAAAAGGCAUUCAUGUAACAAUAAAUGUCCACUUACGUGAAUGUGUAUGUGCCACAAGGGAGGACGCUGCAGGUAUCAGACCUGAUAUUUCUCGCUCUUUUGUAAAAAGGAUGUGCAAUUCAAUGAUAUAUGAAAUAUAGGUUAUCCUAGUAUUUGUCAUAAUUUCAGUGUUUGAGGUAUUUUACAGUCAGGAUGGCCGAGUGGUCUAAGGCGCUGCGUUAAGUUCGCAGUCUCCCCGGGAGGCGUGGGUUCAAAUCCCACUUCUGACAAAAGGUUAAGACAAUUCUUUAAAUUUCUGUAAAGUCCAAAACAAGAGGUUGCGAGGGAAACCGUGAAAAAGGCAUUCAUGUGACGAAUAAAUGUCCACUUACGUGAAUGUGUAAGUGCCACAAGGGAGGACGCUGCAGGUAUCAGAGCUGAUAUUUCUCGCUCUUUUGUAAAAAAGGAUGUGCAAUUCAAUGAUAUAUGAAAUGUAGGUUAUCCUAGUAUUUGUCAUAAUUUCAGUGUUUGAUGUAUUUUACAGUCAGGAUGGCCGAGUGGUCUAAGGCGCUGCUUUAAGGUCGCAGUCUCCCCGGGAGGCGUGGGGUCAUAUCACACUUCUGACAGAAG
Gasterosteus aculeatus aculeatus (three-spined stickleback) is the source of this 979-nucleotide long non-coding RNA. The record is from Ensembl. NCBI's taxonomy places the organism in Eukaryota, Metazoa, Chordata, Actinopteri, Perciformes, Gasterosteidae.